Molecule: ribosomal RNA, 253 nt
Filed under: uncultured bacterium
Lineage: Bacteria
Description: partial 16S ribosomal RNA
Rfam family: Bacterial small subunit ribosomal RNA
Source: RNAcentral
UACGUAGGGGGCGAGCGUUGUCCGGAUUUAUUGGGCGUAAAGAGCGUGUAGGCGGCCAGGCAGGUCUGCUGUGAAAACUCGAGGCUCAACCUCGAGACGUCGGCGGAAACCAUCUGGCUAGAGUCCGGAAGAGGAGAGUGGAAUUUCGUGUGUAGGGGUGAAAUCCGUAGAUCUACGAAGGAACGCCAAAAGCGAAGGCAGCUCUCUGGGUCCCUACCGACGCUGGGGUGCGAAAGCAUGGGGAGCGAACAGG